UAGGAAACUUAGAAAUUUUAGAGUUUGAAUUCUGGCUCAGAUUGAACGCUGGCGGCAGGCCUAACACAUGCAAGUCGAGCGGAUGAAGGGAGCUUGCUCCUGGAUUCAGCGGCGGACGGGUGAGUAAUGCCUAGGAAUCUGCCUGGUAGUGGGGGAUAACGUCCGGAAACGGGCGCUAAUACCGCAUACGUCCUGAGGGAGAAAGUGGGGGAUCUUCGGACCUCACGCUAUCAGAUGAGCCUAGGUCGGAUUAGCUAGUUGGUGGGGUAAAGGCCUACCAAGGCGACGAUCCGUAACUGGUCUGAGAGGAUGAUCAGUCACACUGGAACUGAGACACGGUCCAGACUCCUACGGGAGGCAGCAGUGGGGAAUAUUGGACAAUGGGCGAAAGCCUGAUCCAGCCAUGCCGCGUGUGUGAAGAAGGUCUUCGGAUUGUAAAGCACUUUAAGUUGGGAGGAAGGGCAGUAAGUUAAUACCUUGCUGUUUUGACGUUACCAACAGAAUAAGCACCGGCUAACUUCGUGCCAGCAGCCGCGGUAAUACGAAGGGUGCAAGCGUUAAUCGGAAUUACUGGGCGUAAAGCGCGCGUAGGUGGUUCAGCAAGUUGGAUGUGAAAUCCCCGGGCUCAACCUGGGAACUGCAUCCAAAACUACUGAGCUAGAGUACGGUAGAGGGUGGUGGAAUUUCCUGUGUAGCGGUGAAAUGCGUAGAUAUAGGAAGGAACACCAGUGGCGAAGGCGACCACCUGGACUGAUACUGACACUGAGGGGCGAAAAGAGGG
Molecule: ribosomal RNA, 781 nt
Filed under: Pseudomonas aeruginosa
Lineage: Bacteria; Pseudomonadati; Pseudomonadota; Gammaproteobacteria; Pseudomonadales; Pseudomonadaceae
Description: bacterial SSU rRNA
Rfam family: Bacterial small subunit ribosomal RNA
Source: RNAcentral